UUAAGUGGAAAAAUAUAAACAUCCUGCUGCUCGAAACAUUACUUCCGGAAUGGCCAAGUCAGUAAAGAAAUUCCAAGAACUUAGUAGUUCGUAGUUCAAUCGUUGUACGUGUUAUGUGAGCAGUCUGAGUAAGCGGUUGUGAAACCAAGGAGCGCCGUCCACUAUCAGUCUCUUCGGGAAAGAACUGGGACAGUGCUAUAAAUGGGCCACGACCGCUUUUUCUUACACCUGCUAACGUUAGUUCCAAGCAUAUGGACUAAAGGCAGCGGAUGUCUUGGUGGGAGGUCUUAGAAAUAAGCAGCCAACCAGCGACAAGGGACAUGCAAUUAUAGCGGACUUACGAGAUACGUGCCAGUUCUCGCGGCUGUAAAAAUAAAAAUGCUUUCUACUCUGUGACGCCACAUGGACUAGUAGGUAGAUCCCAUCAUUUCACAGGAAUAAAUUGUCUUCAACUUCAUCCAUGCAAAUGGAGUAAGUACGUUUCUCCAAAACAUUGGUAAUUACCUACGAGUCCACACGACGUCACAACCCAGUGCAGCAUCGACUCUGAAUAUUUGCCUUGCAGAUUAUGCUAACAAAUAUAAGCCUAGUGGUAAGAUACCCGAAGGUUUAACGCCCCUAACAAUAAAGCUCGCCUUUGGAAAUUAUCCUGUGUCUAGUCUACUGUUUAAUAAAGUGUAUACCUAGAAACUAAUUCUAAUUCUAAUUCUGUAGCCUUUUUUGUCUUUCAAGAUGUCUCCUCUGCAUUUGUUUUGUAACAAAAAAUGUCAACAAUAAAGUUUCGUUAAUUGGUAUUUUAUGGACAGAGA
This is a long non-coding RNA of Zootermopsis nevadensis, 809 nucleotides long. RefSeq lists it as uncharacterized. The record is from RefSeq and is a predicted model, not a curated record. Lineage: Eukaryota; Metazoa; Arthropoda; Insecta; Blattodea; Termopsidae.